GGGGCCUGUGCUGUGGGAGGGGUGCUUCUCUUCUGCGUGUCACAGAACAAACACUAGUCUUAACACAUCCUUUGUUGCACUUUAAAGUGACAUUAAUUUAGCUUCCAUUUGCUGCAGCUGGAAUGUAGUCUUGAGGCAGAAGAAUUAAAAAAUUUCUGUAUGCAAUCAUUUUCCCCUCAAAUGAGCCUCAUGCCUUUGUAAACAUACCUCGCUGAGGAAGGAACUGGGGAAGCCACUCUC
Molecule: long non-coding RNA, 240 nt
Filed under: Capra hircus (goat)
Lineage: Eukaryota; Metazoa; Chordata; Mammalia; Artiodactyla; Bovidae
Description: lncRNA (ENSCHIG00010009301.1)
Source: RNAcentral